UACGUAGGGUGCAAGCGUUGUCCGGAAUUAUUGGGCGUAAAGAGCUCGUAGGCGGUUUGUCACGUCGGAUGUGAAACCCUGAGGCUCAACCUCAGGCCUGCAUUCGAUACGGGCAGACUAGAAUUCGGCAGGGGAGACUGGAAUUCCUGGUGUAGCGGUGAAAUGCGCAGAUAUCAGGAAGAACACCCGUGGCGAAGGCGGUUCUCUGGGACGGUACUGACGCUGAGACGCGAAAGCGUGGGGAGCAAACAGG
Molecule: ribosomal RNA, 253 nt
Filed under: uncultured bacterium
Lineage: Bacteria
Description: partial 16S ribosomal RNA
Rfam family: Bacterial small subunit ribosomal RNA
Source: RNAcentral